Molecule: ribosomal RNA, 219 nt
Filed under: uncultured bacterium
Lineage: Bacteria
Description: partial 16S ribosomal RNA
Rfam family: Bacterial small subunit ribosomal RNA
Source: RNAcentral
CGGACGGCUGAGUAACACGUAGGAACGUACCCCGAAGUGAGGGAUAAGCACCAGAAAUGGUGUCUAAUACCGCAUGUGAUCCACGGAUUAAAGCUUUAUGCGCUUCGGGAACGGCCUGCGUAUGAUUAGUUUGUUGGUGAGGUAAUGGCUCACCAAGACUUCGAUCAUUAGCUGGUCUGAGAGGAUGAUCAGCCAGACUGGGACUGAGACACGGCCCAG